AAUGGAUGGUGAGGAUGAGUUGUCUUGAUUGCAAUCUGAGUGAAUUGAUCUGAUUGGUUAAUUCAAACUGGUCAAGGCAAGGGCUGCUUCCUGAUUGGCUCUCCUUAGGCUCCUUUGUAUCUAUCCACAGAUCAGUCUAGGUGCAUGGUCGUGGCUGCUCUUCCUUUACAGCAACAGCCAGCCUGUCCAUGCCCCAAAGUAACCAAUCAGCUCCACAAAGCAUCUUCUUGAUUCCCUUUGACUAGAUUCAAACCUUGGUGCCUUAUCCAUAUACUAUGCACUCUUCACAUCCUGAAUAGUGACCCAAAUAGUGAAUAGUCAACCUGAAUAGUGACUAGUGAUUCACUAUUCACUUUUACACCAACUUGCCCAAACUUCUCCAAUCUUGCUGUGGUAACUCUCCAAAGUUACUGUGGUAACUUUGGAGUUACUGUCUGACCCAAAUCUUCUCUAAAUGGUGUCUAAGUCCCUCCUGGACUUAACCCUAUCUUUGCACACUCAUCAUACCACUUCUGAAGCCUUAAGACUCUCCCAAAGCCUUAACAUACAAUCUCUGAAGAUCUUGCCAUGUCUUUGCACAAGCACCAACUCAACUCAUCACUUUUGCUUCUCCACUUCUUCUCUUCAAGUUAACACUCCCCCUCAAGCUUGACUCUAGCUGAUCCUAAGUCAAGCUUGGAACCU
RNAcentral lists this long non-coding RNA (684 nucleotides) under Brassica rapa (field mustard). RNAcentral's name for it is "long non-coding RNA (BRAP_LNC008883)". Lineage: Eukaryota; Viridiplantae; Streptophyta; Magnoliopsida; Brassicales; Brassicaceae. The record is from RNAcentral.